UGCCAGACUCCUACGGGAGGCAGCAGUGGGGAAUAUUGCACAAUGGGGGAAACCCUGAUGCAGCGACGCCGCGUGAGCGAUGAAGUAUUUCGGUAUGUAAAGCUCUAUCAGCAGGGAAGAAGAUGACGGUACCUGACUAAGAAGCCCCGGCUAACUACGUGCCAGCAGCCGCGGUAAUACGUAGGGGGCAAGCGUUAUCCGGAUUUAUUGGGUUUAAAGGGUGCGCAGGCGGAAUGUCAAGUCAGCGGUAAAAUUUCGGGGCUCAACCCCGUCGUGCCGUUGAAACUGGCGUUCUUGAGUGAGCGAGAAGUAUGCGGAAUGCGUGGUGUAGCGGUGAAAUGCAUAGAUAUCGCGCAGAACUCCGAUUGCGAAGGCAGCAUGCCGGCUCCACACUGACGCUGAGGCACGAAAGCGUGGGUAUCGAACAGGAUUAGAUACCCCAGUAUAG
This 448-nucleotide ribosomal RNA is filed under the name uncultured bacterium. Its description in RNAcentral is "bacterial SSU rRNA". It matches the Rfam family "Bacterial small subunit ribosomal RNA", at positions 329 to 793 of the family's 1533-position model. The record is from RNAcentral.